This 253-nucleotide ribosomal RNA is filed under the name uncultured bacterium. RNAcentral's name for it is "partial 16S ribosomal RNA". It matches the Rfam family "Bacterial small subunit ribosomal RNA", at positions 524 to 776 of the family's 1533-position model. The record is from RNAcentral.
UACGUAGGGGGCAAGCGUUGUCCGGAUUUAUUGGGCGUAAAGAGCGUGUAGGCGGCCAUGCAGGUCCGUUGUGAAAACUCGAGGCUCAACCUCGAGACGCCGAUGGAAACCGCAUGGCUAGAGUCCGGAAGAGGAGAGUGGAACUCCUGGUGUAGCGGUGAAAUGCGCAGAUAUCAGGAAGAACACCCGUGGCUAAGGCGGCUCUCUAGUACGGUACUGACGCUGAGACGCGAAAGCGUGGGGAGCGAACAGG